CUACCAUGGCUUUUACGGGUAACGGAGGAUUAGGGUUCGAUUCCGGAGAGGGAGCCUGAGAAACGGCUACCACAUCUAAGGAAGGCAGCAGGCGCGUAAAUUACCCAAUCCUGAUUCAGGGAGGUAGUGACAAGAAAUAACGUACGGAGGGCCUAGCCUUCUGGAACGCAAUGAGCCGAACUUACACCCCUUAGCGAGGACCGAUUGGAGGGCAAGUCUGGUGCCAGCAGCCGCGGUAAUUCCAGCUCCAAUAGCGUAUAUUAAAGUUGUUGCAGUUAAAAAGCUCGUAGUUGGAUUUCUGGGAGGGUGCCGAUGUCCGCAGUACGUGCGCGCUGAGGCGCCCUUCCAUCCUUCUGUUAGCGUCGCCUGGCAUUUAUUUGCCGGCGGCGUGCUCAGAUAGUUUACCUUGAGAAAAUUAGAGUGUUUCAGGCAGGCUAAGCCGGAAUACAUUAGCAUGGAAUAAUGGAAUAGGACUAUAGUCUCUUUGUUGGUUUGAGGGACAAUAGUAAUGAUUAAUAGGGAUAGUUGGGGGCAUUAGUAUUUGACUGUCAGAGGUGGAAUUCUCGGAUUUGUUAAAGACUAACUUAUGCGAAAGCAUUUGCCAAGGAUGUUUUCAUUAAUCAA
RNAcentral lists this ribosomal RNA (624 nucleotides) under Ciliophora sp. RNAcentral describes it as "SSU rRNA". It matches the Rfam family "Eukaryotic small subunit ribosomal RNA", at positions 341 to 980 of the family's 1831-position model. The record is from RNAcentral. Lineage: Eukaryota; Ciliophora.